Molecule: long non-coding RNA, 835 nt
Organism: Equus quagga
Lineage: Eukaryota; Metazoa; Chordata; Mammalia; Perissodactyla; Equidae
Exons: 3
Source: RefSeq, a predicted model, not a curated record
GUUCCCGGUGGUGCAGCCCCGUCUGGGUGAGCAUGCUGGAGGAGUGCCUGCAGGAGGCUGCUUGGGCAGGAACACUGAAAGCGGUACAAGAUUUCAUGGACGGACACUGACGGCAAGAGAUGUGAUCGAGGGCACUGGAUCAAGAGGCAUACGGCCGCACGCGAAGGCAAGCAGGUGCAGACGGUGAUGUCUCGGAAGAAGGGAUCCAGAUGAGUGAACUGUGCAAGAACACCAGGAAGAACGAAGACCCUGAGGAGGCGAGCAGCACGCUCUGCCGCCGUGCACGGCUGCUGCGGUUUACGUAAAGAAUGCUUUCUGGGGUCCACGGAGCAGGAACAGUAAGCCAGGGUGGCUGUAAGGAGCCUUCUCUGGGGAAUGUGAGGCAGGGUCCCAAGCGAUUCAGGCAAAAUGGUGGGAGCUUGGGUGGGGGGACCCUGCCUGGAGACCCCAGCGCCCACAGUUCCCAGUGGUGGCCCGCAGCCAGGCACCAAAGCCGCCUGCCUUUCUAACGUUUCUGUUCUAGACAAACAAGACAAGGCUUUAACUCAAAUGCCCCCAAAGACUAAACCAAGGCCUUCUGUGACAUUCUUGGAAGGCAGGGAACAAGCAGGUUCCUGAAGGUGACAACAGGAGAGACUGAGCCGUUAGCCCAGACCCAAAGGCAAGGAUUUGGGCAGAGAAAGCUGACUCAAGCUGCAGCCCUCAGCCAUCACCUCCCGCUAGCGCAGUGGCCUGUGGCCUGUGACCCGUCUUCGGCGUUCCUCCAUCUCUGCACUGGACCAGCCAGCUGGACUCUCUGGGUCACAACCGCCUUCUUGCGACCCCUCACCAUGCA